Molecule: ribosomal RNA, 467 nt
Filed under: uncultured bacterium
Lineage: Bacteria
Description: partial 16S ribosomal RNA
Rfam family: Bacterial small subunit ribosomal RNA
Source: RNAcentral
ACGAACGCUGGCGGCGCGCCUAACACCUGCAAGUCGCACGGAGCUGAGAGAAGCUUGCUUUUCUUAGCUUAGUGGCGAACGGGUUAGUAACGCGUGAGUAACCUGCCCUGGAGUGGGGGACAACAGUUGGAAACGACUGCUAAUACCGCAUAAGCCCACGAUCCGGCAUCGGAUUGAGGGAAAAGGAUUUAUUCGCUUCAGGAUGGACUCGCGUCCAAUUAGCUAGUUGGUGAGGUAACGGCCCACCAAGGCGAGGAUUGGUAGCCGGACUGAGAGGUUGAACGGCGACAUUGGGACUGGGACACGGCCCAGACUCCUACGGGAGGCAGCAGUGGGGGAUAUUGCACAAUGGGGGAAACCAUGAUGCAGCGACGCCGCGUGGAGGAAGAAGGUUUUGGGAUUGUAAACUCCUGUAGUGAGGGACGAUAAUGACGGUACCUAACAAGAAAGCACCGGCUAACUACGUG